AGAUUGAACGCUGGCGGCAGGCCUAACACAUGCAAGUCGAGCGGUAGAGAGGUGCUUGCAUCUCUUGAGAGCGGCGGACGGGUGAGUAAUGCCUAGGAAUCUGCCUAGUGGUGGGGGAUAACGUUCGGAAACGGACGCUAAUACCGCAUACGUCCUACGGGAGAAAGCGGGGGACCUUCGGGCCUCGCGCCAUUAGAUGAGCCUAGGUCGGAUUAGCUAGUUGGUGAGGUAAUGGCUCACCAAGGCGACGAUCCGUAACUGGUCUGAGAGGAUGAUCAGUCACACUGGAACUGAGACACGGUCCAGACUCUACGGGAGCAGCAGUGGGGAAUAUUGGACAAUGGGCGAAAGCCUGAUCCAGCCAUGCCGCGUGUGUGAAGAAGGUCUUCGGAUUGAAAGCACGUUUAAGUGGAGAAGGUUGUAACUUAAUACGUCUGACUAUUUAGACGUUACCGACAAGUAACUAAGCGACCGGCUUAACGUCGUCGCCAGCGACGUA
RNAcentral lists this ribosomal RNA (499 nucleotides) under uncultured soil bacterium. RNAcentral describes it as "bacterial SSU rRNA". It matches the Rfam family "Bacterial small subunit ribosomal RNA", at positions 26 to 519 of the family's 1533-position model. The record is from RNAcentral.